Pseudopodoces humilis (Tibetan ground-tit) is the source of this 2472-nucleotide long non-coding RNA. RefSeq lists it as uncharacterized. Lineage: Eukaryota; Metazoa; Chordata; Aves; Passeriformes; Paridae. The record is from RefSeq and is a predicted model, not a curated record.
GUCUGAGUCAGAGAUGCAUCCUCGGAGGAAUAAACGCCAAAAUUCCCUCCUUGGCCGCUCUCACACCCCCAACCUCCGGCUUCUUCCUCACGACCGUCGAUGCUGUCAGCAUAUGUGUUCUUUAUGAAUCUCUAACAGCACAUUUUCGGCCUAAACUGCGCGAAAAGCCGGGGACACCCGCCGGAUCUCACACGCAGAAGAACUACCUGAGGGGCGGGGAAGAGGGGAGCAAGAAAGCGGCAAUUUUUUGCAGAUUUGCUCAGGAGGUUUUGACUGAAACUCUCAGUAAGACACUCGAGGCUGAGAAUCUUCCCCGAAGCGUUUAGGACUCAAAGGCAAGUGGGAGAAAGCUUCUUUCCUUAAAGCGAGUGGGACAGCACUCGCUGAAGGCAUUUCUGUUCUGUAGGGAAGGAGACAAGCGGCGAACGAGCCUUGUUUCCCCUCUAGGGAACAGCGCUCGGGGAGCAGGAAUGGCGCGCUUCCGUCCAGACCAGCGGGCGCUGCCAAAGCCAGGAGCUCGCUCAGCCUUUCAGGGCAGACACAGCUCCGCCAUUCGUAAGGAGCUCCCUUCCUACCACCCUAUCUCCUCCCAGCUCCCGCUGUACCCGUACGCCGCCCUGCCUCCCCUGCCUGGCUUCAGCCCCUCCAGCGAUACGGCUGAUGGAGGGAGGGGAGGCGGCGGCUGGGGUUUCGUUCGACGCCCACCAGGGGCUGAGCGAGCCUCCUUCAGUGCGCAAACUCGGGGCACCAGAUAAAAGCUGGGCUGGCAGCUCUUACCCUGCCUCGAUGGAGCCACCACAUUCGGGUGACUGGAGAAGCAGUUAGCAGCAGCGCCAUAGACUAGCGUCCCCCCACACCUUGGGCACAGAGAGUUUGAGGCUCUAAACAGCUGCUGCUGCGGCAGGAGGGAGCCGAGGGCGCUUGGCUGGGGCUGCUCGCUCGGGUUCUGCCUGUUGUUGCGCGAAAUGGCGGCUGGCGUCUUGGUGAAAGUACACUAAAGGAAGACUUGCUGAAAUCUGAAGAGGGAAACGGGCUCAGUGACUCAAACUCCAGUGGUUCCAGAAUUUGUAAUGUAGACAGGAUAAGGAUUUUUUCUGUUCAGUUAGUGCUGUGCUUUAUUUGCUGGUUUCUCAGGGGAAAAGACUCAACAUGUUGAAUCACAGAGACGUUACUUCCUGCUGUUACUUCCUUGCAGCUCUCCCCUCCAUGGCUGGAGGAGCUGUUUUUGCAUAGUGCGUGUUCUAAGACAGGAACUUACUGGAGGUGAAGACAGAAGCCAACCAGUUCUGUGCUGAAUGUAAUAGUUUCUGACUCAAAUUGUGUGGUAAUUGUCAAAAUAUCUUAGGGUGUGGUAGGAUCUGCUGUGUCAAACAUGGCUGAUGAUUUAUUCCCACAUAAUUUGACUAGAUGAGUAUAAUCUGAAUUAACAUAUGAAAUGGGGAAAAAGAUUCCUUGAUGUUUUCUAGCCACUUGAAACCUGAUUGUGUGCAAAAAUAAAUUUCAGUAUGCUUGAGUAUUUAUGGGUUUUUUUCCCACUUGCUCAAACUUAACUCCCAUUCUUUCUGAUUUCCCACAGAAAGAAAGAAAAGCUACUUGCUAUAGCUUCAAAAAUACUAAUAGAAAACUGAGCACUGGAAAUAUGAUAGAGCUUCAAGUUACUAUCAGUUUCACUAGCAAUUAAAAACAUGUAAUCCUAGAGGUUACAGUAGUAAAUUGAUACCAAUUAUUUUGACAUAUAUACUUACUUCAUACAGCUGGCUUUCCUUCUAGAAGAUAAGUAUUCCUAGCAGCUUGUUACAGUACUGAGUUUGUGUCAAGUAUAAGAUUGGCACAUUUACUAUGAAGACAAACUUUCAGAGAAUUCAUAUGAAUUCUACUUCUUCAGCAGUUCUUUGUGAUAAACAAGGGCUUGCAGCUCCAAGAGGCAAACAGGAAAGGGAUGGAGGGGUGGUAGUCAAAUUUUCAGGCAGAUCAACUCCAGCUGGAGUUAAGUUUUCUCAGUGUGGAAUAGUGUUAAACAGUGUAGCACUCCUCUAUCCUCUUUUUUCAGAAAUUACUUCAGAUCUGCUUUUUACCUGGAGUGCUAGAGGAGAGUUCUGGAUGAAGCCAUUUUUUUACUCUCUUGUAUUUUAACCUCUACUGUACAUUGUCCAGUCAUUGUUCAGCAAACAGUUCCUUUUGGUGGACUGUUCUCUGGUGCUAUUUGGAGAAAAGGGAAGGAGUUGAUCUCUAGAUGAGUAUCUGAAAUACAGGACUUCAAAGGACUGCCUGAAGUUGUUAAACCUAGUGACUUAGAGCAUCUAGAAAAGCCACUUUGCAGGAUAAUCCCUUAUUAUUAUACAUUCCCAGCAUAUUCCAUGAUAAUGUUUGCAUUUUUGUCUCUGGGCAAAAACUAAGCACUAUCAGAAGUGCAACUUCUGACAUAAUUUUAAAUAAGUGAAUCUUCUAUCUCUAGAUGCAAUUUUUGCUGGA